This 462-nucleotide ribosomal RNA is filed under the name Nocardia ignorata. RNAcentral describes it as "bacterial SSU rRNA". It matches the Rfam family "Bacterial small subunit ribosomal RNA", at positions 28 to 507 of the family's 1533-position model. Lineage: Bacteria; Bacillati; Actinomycetota; Actinomycetes; Mycobacteriales; Nocardiaceae. The record is from RNAcentral.
GACGAACGCUGGCGGCGUGCUUAACACAUGCAAGUCGAGCGGUAAGGCCCUUCGGGGUACACGAGCGGCGAACGGGUGAGUAACACGUGGGUGAUCUGCCUUGCACUUCGGGAUAAGCCUGGGAAACUGGGUCUAAUACCGGAUAUGACCUCCGGAUGCAUGUUCUGGGGUGGAAAGAUUUAUCGGUGCGAGAUGGGCCCGCGGCCUAUCAGCUUGUUGGUGAGGUAACGGCUCACCAAGGCGACGACGGGUAGCCGACCUGAGAGGGUGACCGGCCACACUGGGACUGAGACACGGCCCAGACUCCUACGGGAGGCAGCAGUGGGGAAUAUUGCACAAUGGGCGAAAGCCUGAUGCAGCGACGCCGCGUGCGGGAUGACGGCCUUCGGGUUGUAAACCGCUUUUGACAGGGACGAAGCGCAAGUGACUGUACCUGUAGAAUAAGGACCGGCCAACUACGUG